AGAUAUUCAGAUUUUGUUGUUGUUAUUACAGGGUAUGUUUAUUUAGAUAAUUUUUAAGUACUUUGCUUUUGAAUUUAUGUAGAUAUGGUUUUAAUGUAUCAAGAUCCUACCCGGCAGACCCUGUAAUAAUUUUUGAAAUUCCAGUAGUCUGAGAGUCAAAGCACAAACAAUUAGUUAACUCUUCUCUUGUACACUGUAAAUCAAACGAAGCCCCUUGCAAUGACCACAGAUCAGGGGCCUCCACCCUUAGCAAAUCACUUGCCUAAUCUUAGGCCGGAGACCUAAUGCAUAGGCCUAUUGUAAUUUCUUUAUCUUUUAUGAGUGAGGGCAUCUCUUCUACUUGAGCAAGAUCAUGGUACCUGGAUUGCUGGGUUCUUUUGUUCCUUUAUUGUGUUGUUUCUUUGUCUCUUAGUGUGGUUGUGGUUCCCUUUGGCUCACUUUUGGUCCAUCAGGGUAAUGUGCAGUACAGAAGAGAUACAAACACUCUUCAGAAAGAUACCUGCACACUGGAACGCAAAGCAAAUUGUUCGCUUUCUAAGUCUCCUUUUUCUUUUCUAAACUCACUAGUAAAUAACUGCAUCAGAAUACUUUUGCUUUAUAAAAAACUUAUAAAGACUUAGAAAUAGACUAAUAGUUUACAGAGCUAUUAUAUUAAAUAUGAUGUGAAUUUAUUUCACACCAGUUGUGAAGGUACCAAAAAAUGCAAUGAAAGUUAAUAUAUAUAAACCCUGCUAGAGCAAAAAAGCUUGAAGUAGGUAGGGGUAUGGAAGGCCAAUAGUAAAUGUAAAAAAGUAAGUUUUUGAAAGGAAACAAUGUUGUCAAAGGAAGUAAAAUACUACACUCCGUGUUUUUUUCUGCUUAAUUGUAUGGAUUAACAGAAGAAGUUUAAAUUGUAAAAAAUUGUUCUAAAUUUUUUUUUAAUAUACAACUGAUUCUUUGGUACUGCAAUGUUUCUUUGUGGCUAGAAAACGGCCAGACUGCUGACUUUGUGCCUUUAAAUGCGUUCUGCGUUGCCAGUAGCAACUUCCUUCCGGUGCUGGAGCAGAUCCACUAGCAGUGCCAGGCGUGCUCUCAGGACGCACCUUCUGCAUGGGUCCUGAGAGAGUCCAAGGCAGGCUGGGGCUGAGUCAAGGGGAAGACCUCUCAUAGGGCAAACAAAAGUAGUUGAAUAAAAGAGUUAAGGCGUAACUGAUAGCAUUUUAAUGGAUUGGUAUUUAAACCUUUUGAGGUUUCAGAAUGAAUACCUUGAAAAUUUUCAGCACUUUUCCUUGUUUACAAAAAUAUAUUUUUAACUUUAAAAACAUCUAUGACUAUUGCCUUAGAAAGUAUUAAGAGGCACAAUCUACAGCAUAUGAGAAGUUGAGUAUUGCACAUGCUGGACUGUAAAAGGUAAAGCUUUUAUUUCAGAAUAAAUGUAAUUGGCUUUCAUUUGAGUCUCACCUUACUCCAUUAGAAGUUACAUAAAAAGAGUAAAAAUAUAUCUUUAGAGUAGCUCUCUGCUACUAAGUUCUGACGUAGGUCAGGCCGGAUCUGCACUAUUCUGAAAUGGUGUUGUUAGAAGAUUGGGAAAUCACUAAAAUAAAAUCAAACCUGAAUAGAUUGGCAGAUGACCCAGUAUGCUGCAGACUCCUUGAUUAAUGGCAGAGUUCACACCAGUGGUUUCAUUUGGGGUCUGAAAACCUUUAUAUAAAUUCAGCUGGAAACAACCAGGUAUACAAAUCUGUCAGUCUUAUUUUAGUUUGUUUUUGGAGUCAGGGUUCUCACUAUGUGUUUCAGGCUGGCCUGGAACUUAAAUGCUCCUGUCUCUGCCUCCUGGGUGCUGGGAAAACAGGCAUGUGCCACCACACCCAGCUUUGCCCAUUUAAAAAAAAAAUAGGGUCAAUCUUUUUCAUUUUCUUACUCAACAGUUGUGAUGUACUGUGUUACAUUAAAUUAAUAUUCUUCAGGAAAUUACAGUUGUGGAACAUGGGCAGACAGUUACUUAAUGGCAUACCCUAACUCUGAAAGUUUAGCAGUGAUGCUUAAAAUGCUAGGAUUUUUAUAUGAAAAAAUAAGGAAGAAAUUUUAGAUAAUUUUGGCCAUAAUUAUGGACUCCAAAGAUAUGAACAAGAGGAUUAGAGUACAAGUAUCUAUAUCCCACGUCAGAACCUGCUCUUCCGAUACAACACAGUCCCAGAUUGUUUUGGGACAAUGGAACAUUUAUUCCUUAGCACACUGUAUUGGGAUUCUCCCUCACCCCAGCCGUUGUUGUUAUUUUUGUUUUAAGG
RNAcentral lists this long non-coding RNA (2267 nucleotides) under Mus musculus (house mouse). RNAcentral's name for it is "long non-coding RNA chr18:32230161-32232428". The record is from RNAcentral. Lineage: Eukaryota; Metazoa; Chordata; Mammalia; Rodentia; Muridae.